CCACCUCGCCCUCUCCCUGCGCCGCCUCCGUGCCGCGCUGGCCGCGCUUGAGGCCGGCGACGUCCCCGCUGCGCUCCACAUCGCCUCCGCCUUGCAAGAGCCGCUCCACAACUAGAUCAGUCACGUAGUCUCUUCUUCCCAAGGUGUAUUUUACCGUGUUAAUGCUAUAUAAUUGUGCGGAAGUUGCUGACAGAAUGCUAAAGCAACUGGACAGGCCGAUGUCUCUUUUGGUAUUAACAGAAGAUAUGAAGAAACAAGGUGUUCGGAGGGAUAAAUAGUCUGUUGUUUUCUUUGGACCUUACUCUCAUUAGUGUAAUCUAUAUUUAUUUGAUUUCGAACUCAAAUCUAGAUCAUCAUAGUGCCUUUGUUUAUCCGGGAAUCAAAAGAUCUUGUUAGGUAUCUAGUUUACCACAUGAAAGAAGCUGGCACUCUUGAAAGGCUAGCAGUUCUUGUUUAUCCAUGAUGAAUUGGUGAUGUAUUGUAUUAUAAUUUGAUUGACGAAAGAAUGAUACUUCUGUUUUGAAUGUUAAUUAUUUUAUUUUUCAUUUUUCCCAGCAACUAUACUCGUUAUUACUUAUUUAAAAAACUCAUUAUUAUUACUUGUUUUAUUCAAUCUUAUGGUGUAGUAGUAGGCGAGCAAGCAAGCUACGAUGCGGGACAGUAGUAGUAGGCGAGCAAGCAAGUUACGAUGCGGGACAUGCGGGACUAACGUUACUACCCACAAA
Long non-coding RNA from Panicum virgatum (switchgrass), 725 nucleotides. RefSeq lists it as uncharacterized. Lineage: Eukaryota; Viridiplantae; Streptophyta; Magnoliopsida; Poales; Poaceae. The record is from RefSeq and is a predicted model, not a curated record. The transcript is spliced from 3 exons.